CCCUCCGCUGAAAUAAAAGCAACGUAUGAGCGAGCUCUAAUGAGAAGCAAGUCAACCGGUGAUGGUAUUCUGACAGUUUUCUGCAUUUUAAUCCUUUAGGUUCCUCAGGUGUUCACUUUGUUCUCCAGGCGUGGCCUCUGGCGGAGGGAGGGUACGUGGUGACGUCACAGGUCAUUCCUCGGUGCGGACGCCAAAAUAAAACGGCUCCAAAAAAAAAAAAAACUUUCCUACCGGACUCACGGUGCGAGACGCCGGGCGGCCGCGGAAUGACGCCGUGAAGAAAAGCCAUUUCUCCCCGUGCGGUUCGUAGCGGCUGGUUCGGGCCGCGCCAUUGUUCGCGUAGCGGAGCCUCCCCCCUCCGCCCCCCCCCCUCUCUCCUUCCAGGGGUCGCAGCGCGAGCGGCAGCGGGCUGUGUCACGAGCGGACUCGCUAGCUAGCGUCAAGUUGUACGAAAAGUGGAGGAGAGGACGGCCGAGCGGGAGCGUAUCCGCCUACACACACCUAUGCGACGGACAGCAGCAGGACUAAACAACUUUAAUCCCCUUGCAAAAUAUGCUUAUAAAUAGAAGCCUUUCAUUCGACGGCUUAAUGCUGAGCACUGUAUUCACAACCGCAAACAACCCUCCUUUUCCCUCAUCCCUAACACCUUCUGAUUCCCCCCCACCCUUCUAUGAAGUGCCCCGCUUGUCUAAAGCGCUCAUGUCACUUGCAUUCGACAGCCCCC
This is a long non-coding RNA of Gasterosteus aculeatus aculeatus (three-spined stickleback), 724 nucleotides long. Lineage: Eukaryota; Metazoa; Chordata; Actinopteri; Perciformes; Gasterosteidae. The record is from Ensembl.